RNAcentral lists this small nucleolar RNA (132 nucleotides) under Rhinolophus ferrumequinum (greater horseshoe bat). RNAcentral's name for it is "U8 small nucleolar RNA (ENSRFEG00010009539.1)". It matches the Rfam family "U8 small nucleolar RNA". Rfam says of the family: U8 is a member of the C/D class of snoRNA which contain the C (UGAUGA) and D (CUGA) box motifs. U8 is the RNA component of a small complex (the U8 snoRNP) which is required for accumulation of mature large subunit ribosomal RNAs, 5.8S and 28S rRNAs. U8 RNA has been identified in human, mouse, rat and Xenopus. The record is from Rfam by way of RNAcentral. Lineage: Eukaryota; Metazoa; Chordata; Mammalia; Chiroptera; Rhinolophidae.
UCGUCAGGUAGGAGAAUCCUUACCUGCUUCUCCUUUUGGAGGGCAGAUUAGAACAUGAUGAUUGGAGUUUGUAUGAUUCGUGAUUAAUGUCUCUGAAUAAUCAGGUCUUGCAACACCCUGAUUGCUCCUGAU